This 482-nucleotide ribosomal RNA is filed under the name uncultured bacterium. RNAcentral's name for it is "partial 16S ribosomal RNA". It matches the Rfam family "Bacterial small subunit ribosomal RNA", at positions 30 to 507 of the family's 1533-position model. The record is from RNAcentral.
AUUGAACGCUGGCGGCAUGCUUUACACAUGCAAGUCGAACGGUAACAGGCCGCAAGGUGCUGACGAGUGGCGAACGGGUGAGUAAUGCAUCGGAACGUGCCCAGUCGUGGGGGAUAACUACUCGAAAGAGUAGCUAAUACCGCAUACGAUCUAUGGAUGAAAGCGGGGGAACGUAAGGCCUCGCGCGAUUGGAGCGGCCGAUGUCAGAUUAGGUAGUUGGUGGGGUAAAGGCUCACCAAGCCAACGAUCUGUAGCUGGUCUGAGAGGACGACCAGCCACACUGGGACUGAGACACGGCCCAGACUCCUACGGGAGGCAGCAGUGGGGAAUUUUGGACAAUGGGCGCAAGCCUGAUCCAGCAAUGCCGCGUGCAGGAAGAAGGCCUUCGGGUUGUAAACUGCUUUUGUACGGAACGAAACGGCUCUGGUUAAUACCCGGGGGUAAUGACGGUACCGUAAGAAUAAGCACCGGCUAACUACGUG